RNAcentral lists this ribosomal RNA (249 nucleotides) under bacterium enrichment culture clone ALO1_GLFRUDD03HA1LV. Its description in RNAcentral is "partial 16S ribosomal RNA". It matches the Rfam family "Bacterial small subunit ribosomal RNA", at positions 9 to 255 of the family's 1533-position model. The record is from RNAcentral.
GAGUUUGAUCAUGGCUCAGAUUGAACGCUGGCGGCAUGCCUUACACAUGCAAGUCGAACGGCAGCACGGGAGCUUGCUCCUGGUGGCGAGUGGCGAACGGGUGAGUAAUGCAAUCGGAACGUAUCCUGGAGUGGGGGAUAACGUAGCGAAAGUUACGCUAAUACCGCAUAUUCUGUGAGCAGGGAAAGCGGGGGGACCUUCGGGCCUCGCGCUCUUGGAGCGGCCGAUGUCGGAUUAGCUAGUUGGUGA